CUGUUCCUGACUGCCACAGGCUCCCCAGCAGCCCACAAGCCCUCCCCACUGGCUCUGUAAUAGCAACUGGCCGGUCGUCUUGAGUGCACCUUGAACAUGCUUAUUGUCCUAGGGGAUGAGCAUUAUUCUGGUCUAAGGACAGGAUACUUUGGAAAAGAAGUUCUGCUUUUGUUUCCACGGAAGAUGAAAAGCUGUGGAUUCCUUCCAAACUAAUAAGGUUUGAUCAAGCAAGACCCCCUGAAGCAGUGACCCAGGUGAUCCAACAUCCAAAACAGCUGAGACCAUGCAGCCUCACAGACCACUACAGCCAGGAUUUUUCCAUGGCUCUAAGUUCUCUGAGGAUCCCCUUGGGAUUGACAGUGCCCACAAACAGCAGUUUGGAAAGAACUAUGCCCAUAUUCCCAAAUAUUGUCUGUUUGUUUUCAUUUAAACAGGGUUAUAAAUAGUUAAUGAUUACAGUCAAUCUCUUUCCAAAGAAGGGAAAUAUAAUAUAGAAGUGAAUAAAUUGGUAUGGAUUUUGGUUUAUUGAU
RNAcentral lists this long non-coding RNA (530 nucleotides) under Cricetulus griseus (Chinese hamster). Its description in RNAcentral is "lncRNA (ENSCGRG00015040541.1)". Lineage: Eukaryota; Metazoa; Chordata; Mammalia; Rodentia; Cricetidae. The record is from RNAcentral.